GCCGAUGUAGCUCAGUGGUAGAGCAGCGGUAUCGUAAACCGCAGGUCGUCGGUUCGAUCCCGACCAUCGGCUCCA
Molecule: transfer RNA, 75 nt
Filed under: Rariglobus hedericola
Lineage: Bacteria; Pseudomonadati; Verrucomicrobiota; Opitutia; Opitutales; Opitutaceae
Also listed under: 1 other name
Description: Opitutaceae bacterium 53C-WASEF tRNA-Thr
Rfam family: tRNA
About the family: Transfer RNA (tRNA) molecules are approximately 80 nucleotides in length. Their secondary structure includes four short double-helical elements and three loops (D, anti-codon, and T loops). Further hydrogen bonds mediate the characteristic L-shaped molecular structure. tRNAs have two regions of fundamental functional importance: the anti-codon, which is responsible for specific mRNA codon recognition, and the 3' end, to which the tRNAs corresponding amino acid is attached (by aminoacyl-tRNA synthetases). tRNAs cope with the degeneracy of the genetic code in two manners: having more than one tRNA (with a specific anti-codon) for a particular amino acid; and 'wobble' base-pairing, i.e. permitting non-standard base-pairing at the 3rd anti-codon position.
Source: RNAcentral